CCAUAUUAUAACUAUGGCGGGUCAUGCCUUUUAAAGGCCUCCAUUCCUAUUGCCUACCUCUCUGAGUUUUGUCAUUGAAGCGCACUCAACGUUCUCCAUUGAAGCGUUCUCCGUUGAAUCUAAUUCUUGUAUCCCCCAUCGAAGCAGCUUCUAAGGGCGGCCGCCCCUCCUGCCCUGCCUCAGGGACGGGCCUGCUGCUAAUUCAAAAAUGCUAGAGUGAAAUGGACAGAUAUUAUUACAGAAGGAUGCUGAUCAGCUAGCAUUAUUAUUUAGAUAUGGACAUAUUGUCAAUGUUCAUUAAAAAAUGUUAGGUUCAAAGUUAACUUAAGGCAUAAUAUAAGCCAAUCCCAAUUAUACAGAAGAACCUAAUUCUUUUCUAAACAAUCAGGAUGAUAUGUCAUUAAAUACAAAUAAAACAAGAUUGAGAAGACCAAACUAAAAUCACUAAUACUUAAGCCAUUAAGCAAUAAUUCAUCAUUUAUU
Molecule: long non-coding RNA, 483 nt
Organism: Chenopodium quinoa (quinoa)
Lineage: Eukaryota; Viridiplantae; Streptophyta; Magnoliopsida; Caryophyllales; Amaranthaceae
Exons: 2
Source: RefSeq, a predicted model, not a curated record